Long non-coding RNA from Coccinella septempunctata (seven-spotted ladybird), 179 nucleotides. RefSeq lists it as uncharacterized. The transcript is spliced from 2 exons. The record is from RefSeq and is a predicted model, not a curated record. NCBI's taxonomy places the organism in Eukaryota, Metazoa, Arthropoda, Insecta, Coleoptera, Coccinellidae.
AGAUUCUCCGAAUAUAAGUUUUUUGAAUUUACCAUAAAUAUCUGAACUACUCUGAAGUGAAUAGGAUUUUCAGUAUGUCCAGACAUUGACUUGGUGAACUGCAGUAAAAAAGUUUCUCCUGGAAUACGUAGAGUCAUUAUAGAUUCUUUGCGGUUGCAUCUCCUAAAUACUGAGCAGAA